RNAcentral lists this non-coding RNA (27 nucleotides) under Homo sapiens (human). Lineage: Eukaryota; Metazoa; Chordata; Mammalia; Primates; Hominidae. The record is from RNAcentral.
UGGCUGUAUCCCAAGUGGAAUUGAAUG